RNAcentral lists this transfer RNA (84 nucleotides) under Alphaproteobacteria bacterium. RNAcentral's name for it is "tRNA-Leu". It matches the Rfam family "tRNA". From Rfam's summary of the family: Transfer RNA (tRNA) molecules are approximately 80 nucleotides in length. Their secondary structure includes four short double-helical elements and three loops (D, anti-codon, and T loops). The record is from RNAcentral. Lineage: Bacteria; Pseudomonadati; Pseudomonadota; Alphaproteobacteria.
GCGGGUGUGGCGAAAUGGCAGACGCGCCAGAUUUAGGUUCUGGUGUCUUCGGACGUGGGGGUUCAAGUCCCUUCACCCGCACCA